Long non-coding RNA from Salvelinus namaycush (lake trout), 151 nucleotides. RefSeq lists it as uncharacterized. The record is from RefSeq and is a predicted model, not a curated record. The transcript is spliced from 3 exons. NCBI's taxonomy places the organism in Eukaryota, Metazoa, Chordata, Actinopteri, Salmoniformes, Salmonidae.
GCUACACCAUACCACAUGAAGCGACUCCUGAACCUGGCGAAGACCCAAAAGUAACAAGAGCUAAGUUUUUCAUCCGAGACGAGUUCCUGAGGAUCAGCACUGCCAGUGGAGAUGGCCGACACUACUGCUACCCUCCCACUUGCAACCCUGC